CCUACGGGAGGCAGCAGUGGGGAAUAUUGCGCAAUGGGGGCAACCCUGACGCAGCAACGCCGCGUGAUUGAAGAAGGCCUUCGGGUUGUAAAGAUCUUUAAUCGGGGACGAAGGUUGACGGUACCCGAAGAAUAAGCGCAGGCUAACUACGUGCCAGCAGCCGCGGUAAUACGGAGGGAGCAAGCGUUAUCCGGAUUUACUGGGUGGAAAGGGCGUGGAGGAGGGCAGGGAAGCCAGAAGGGUAAUCUGGGGGCUUACCCCCCAAACUGCUUUUGGAACUGCGUGUCUUGAGUGAUGGAGCGGCUGGCGGACUUCCCAUUGUAGCGGUGACAUUCUUAGAUAUUGGGCGGAACACCAGUGGCGACGGCGGCCUGCUGGACAUUAACUGACGCUGUGGCGCG
RNAcentral lists this ribosomal RNA (401 nucleotides) under uncultured bacterium. RNAcentral describes it as "partial 16S ribosomal RNA". It matches the Rfam family "Bacterial small subunit ribosomal RNA", at positions 338 to 755 of the family's 1533-position model. The record is from RNAcentral.